RNAcentral lists this ribosomal RNA (164 nucleotides) under Thinopyrum intermedium. Its description in RNAcentral is "5.8S ribosomal RNA". It matches the Rfam family "5.8S ribosomal RNA". Rfam says of the family: 5.8S ribosomal RNA (5.8S rRNA) is a component of the large subunit of the eukaryotic ribosome. Lineage: Eukaryota; Viridiplantae; Streptophyta; Magnoliopsida; Poales; Poaceae. The record is from RNAcentral. RNAcentral also lists the same sequence under 1 other name.
CACACGACUCUCGGCAACGGAUAUCUCGGCUCUCGCAUCGAUGAAGAACGUAGCGAAAUGCGAUACCUGGUGUGAAUUGCAGAAUCCCGCGAACCAUCGAGUCUUUGAACGCAAGUUGCGCCCGAGGCCACUCGGCUGAGGGCACGCCUGCCUGGGCGUCACGC